AGUGAACGCUGGCGGCAGGCCUAACACAUGCAAGUCGAACGGCAACACAGUAAGAGCUUGCUCCUACGGGUGGCGAGUGGCGGACUGGUGCGGAAUACACCGGAAUCUACUUUUUCGUGGGGGAUAACGUAGGGAAACUUACGCUAAUACCUCAUACGACCUACGGGUGAAAGCAGAGGAUCUUUGGACCUCGCGCGAUUGAAUGAGCCGAUGUCGGAUUAGCUAGUUGGCGGGGUAAAGGCCCACCAAGGCGACGAUCCGUAGCUGGUCUGAGAGGAUGAUCAGCCACACUGGAACUGAGACACGGUCCAGACUCCUACGGGAGGCAGCAGUGGGGAAUAUUGGACAAUGGGCGCAAGCCUGAUCCAGCCAUACCGCGUGGGUGAAGAAGGCCUUCGGGUUGUAAAGCCCUUUUGUUGGGAAAGAAAAGCAGCAGGUUAAUACCCCGCGGUUCUGACGGUACCCAAAGAAUAAGCACCGGCUAACUUCGUG
This 492-nucleotide ribosomal RNA is filed under the name uncultured bacterium. RNAcentral describes it as "partial 16S ribosomal RNA". It matches the Rfam family "Bacterial small subunit ribosomal RNA", at positions 29 to 507 of the family's 1533-position model. The record is from RNAcentral.